GCGCCCGUAGCUCAGCUGGAUAGAGCGGUGGCCUUCGAAGCCACAUGUCGGGGGUUCGAAUCCCUCCGGGCGUA
This 74-nucleotide transfer RNA is filed under the name Myxococcales bacterium. Its description in RNAcentral is "tRNA-Arg". It matches the Rfam family "tRNA". From Rfam's summary of the family: Transfer RNA (tRNA) molecules are approximately 80 nucleotides in length. The record is from RNAcentral. Lineage: Bacteria; Pseudomonadati; Myxococcota; Myxococcia; Myxococcales. RNAcentral also lists the same sequence under 2 other names.